This 502-nucleotide ribosomal RNA is filed under the name uncultured Desulfobulbaceae bacterium. RNAcentral describes it as "bacterial SSU rRNA". It matches the Rfam family "Bacterial small subunit ribosomal RNA", at positions 29 to 506 of the family's 1533-position model. Lineage: Bacteria; Pseudomonadati; Thermodesulfobacteriota; Desulfobulbia; Desulfobulbales; Desulfobulbaceae. The record is from RNAcentral.
AACGAACGUUGGCGGCGUGCUUAACACAUGCAAGUCGAACGCGAACGGUUUCUUCGGAGACCUAGUAGAGUGGCGCACGGGUGAGUAACGCGUAAGUAAUCUACCCUCGCAUCAGGGAUAACUACGGGAAGCUGUAGCUAAUACCGGAUACGUUCUCCUAUUUACGGACUGGAGAAGAAAGAUGGCCUCUUCAUGAAAGCUAUCGUGCGGGGAGGAGCUUGCGUACCAUUAGCUAGUUGGUAGGGUAAUGGCCUACCAAGGCGACGAUGGUUAGCGGGUCUGAGAGGAUGAUCCGCCACACUGGAACUGAAACACGGACCAGACUCCUACGGGAGGCAGCAGUGAGGAAUACUGCGCAAUGGGGGAAACCCUGACGCAGCGACGCCGCGUGGAUGAUGAAGGCCUUAGGGUCGUAAAAUCCUGUCAGGUGGGAAGAAGUGGUUAUAGACUAAUACUCUAUUUCUUUGACGGUACCACCAAAGGAAGCACCGGCUAACUCCGU